RNAcentral lists this ribosomal RNA (639 nucleotides) under uncultured fungus. Its description in RNAcentral is "partial 28S ribosomal RNA". It matches the Rfam family "Eukaryotic large subunit ribosomal RNA", at positions 40 to 646 of the family's 3401-position model. The record is from RNAcentral. Lineage: Eukaryota; Fungi.
AUAUUACUCAGCGGAGGAAAAGAAAACAACCGUGAUUCCCUCAGUCAGCGGCGAGCGAAGAGGGACCGGACCCGUUGCCGAAUCGGGCCUCACAUGGCCUUGAGUUGUGGCAAGAACGCCUCUCUGUGACUGGUGCGGGAAUGGCGAAAUUCAACCGCAAAGCAAACCCAUUGCUGAACACAACCCUUCAUGUGAGUAUUGAGCCAAAGAAGGUGUUAGCCCAUUGAGCCAUGAACCCGAGCACCUCACCGAGGGGCACCAAGAGAGUAGCACUGUUUGGGAAUGCAGUGUCAAGCGGCAGGUAUGUGUCUGCCAAGGUUAAAUACAGAGUAGGAAGACCGAUAUCGAACAAGUAGCGUGAGCGAAAGUUUGAAAAGCACUUUGGAAAGAGAGUGACAUAGAACCUGAAGUCGUGACAACGAUAAUGAAAGUACCUCCAUUUCAACGGCCAAAUCCAACCUCGCAGCAUUCUCCGCGCGGGCGUCAAAAAUCCGCGCGGCAAAAAACAAAGUGCAAGACUGAGGGCUACUGGUGAAAUGGGCGGGGCUACUGGGCCGGUGGCACUCUCUUCACCGAGAGCGAGCCUCGCCGGCCCUCCCCGUGAUGCUCCAUGUUGGCGAUGGAAAUGGGGUGCCUUCA